CAGUCGCCACGGUAAUACGGAGGGAGCUAGCGUUGUUCGGAAUUACUGGGCGUAAAGCGCACGUAGGCGGCUGUGUAAGUCAGAGGUGAAAGCCCGGGGCUCAACCCCGGAAUAGCCUUUGAGACUGCAUAGCUUGAACACGGGAGAGGUGAGUGGAAUUCCGAGUGUAGAGGUGAAAUUCGUAGAUAUUCGGAAGAACACCAGUGGCGAAGGCGGCUCACUGGACCGUUGUUGACGCUGAGGUGCGAAAGCGUGGGGAGCAAACAGGAUUAGAUACCCCUGUAGUCCCUGUCUCUUAUAC
This 301-nucleotide ribosomal RNA is filed under the name uncultured bacterium. RNAcentral's name for it is "partial 16S ribosomal RNA". It matches the Rfam family "Bacterial small subunit ribosomal RNA", at positions 509 to 807 of the family's 1533-position model. The record is from RNAcentral.